UCUUCAUUCCGCACACUCUCUCGCCGGUCAGAGAAACGAAAUAGUGUGCGACAUGAGGAGA
Molecule: microRNA precursor, 61 nt
Filed under: Pristionchus pacificus
Lineage: Eukaryota; Metazoa; Nematoda; Chromadorea; Rhabditida; Neodiplogasteridae
Description: mir-8364 microRNA precursor family
Rfam family: mir-8364 microRNA precursor family
Source: Rfam by way of RNAcentral